AGAAGAAGAAGCGCUAAUCUAAAAAGGAAAACAAUUAGAGAUAAAACCUAAAAGAAACAAAACUCAAUUCUCUCUCUCACGGCGAUCUCGUCGACCUUCAUCUUCAUAAUACGUCUUUGAGCCUCCCUCUCUGCAUCUCCCAUCUUUGAAGCUCUGAUCUCUGCAGGAAAGAGUCUGGAGCAUUUCCAAAAUUUAGCUCAAGUAGUUCAAGAUAUUAAGGUUAGAUGACAAUUCGAUCCUCAAACAGAGCCCAAAAUUAG
Molecule: long non-coding RNA, 260 nt
Organism: Rosa chinensis
Lineage: Eukaryota; Viridiplantae; Streptophyta; Magnoliopsida; Rosales; Rosaceae
Exons: 3
Source: RefSeq, a predicted model, not a curated record